This is a long non-coding RNA of Dendroctonus ponderosae (mountain pine beetle), 332 nucleotides long. RefSeq lists it as uncharacterized. NCBI's taxonomy places the organism in Eukaryota, Metazoa, Arthropoda, Insecta, Coleoptera, Curculionidae. The record is from RefSeq and is a predicted model, not a curated record. The transcript has 2 exons.
GGCGUCAAACGCCUUAGUGAGAUCCACAAUCAAGUAGCAUUUUCUUAGUGGCAUAUGUUUUAUGAGUAGGCAUUAGUUCCUGUGUUAUUGAUCAGAAAAUGUCUAUGCAGGAUAACUGUAACAACAACAAUAACUGAAGACGAGCAAUACACGUUUUACCUUAAAUGUAGCGAUUAUGCUAGAAGGUAUUUGAUCAAAGAGUACGAUGACAUUACAGAAGAAACGCGAACUAAGACCAAGAGGAUGUAUUUCCUGCAUUGCUUGAACAAGUUUCUGUUCUACAGCUGGAUGGCCUGGAUUGUAUUUUACAAAAUCAACGUAGUGAAGAUCCU